RNAcentral lists this unclassified non-coding RNA (570 nucleotides) under Hevea brasiliensis (rubber tree). The record is from RNAcentral. Lineage: Eukaryota; Viridiplantae; Streptophyta; Magnoliopsida; Malpighiales; Euphorbiaceae.
GGGAGUUCAACAAAGUAGGUGAAAGUUUUUUUCUUUUUCCUCAUCAGUUUCUUAAAUAAUCAACAUGUCACACUUUAGCCUAAAUCUUAAUUCUGCCCUUCCAAAUAGCAGAAUUGAAUUACUUGAUGAUAUUUCCUAUGCUAAAAGUGCUCAGUUACACCGUUACUGUACUUGACUUGAGGGUAAGACUCUUUGGUCAUGAGCACAGGAUGUUAUUUUGGUCUUCUCAAGAAACAUAUGACACUCUUUCUUAGAAAUUUCAGACGUCUUAUAAAUACUACUUAAUUGAUAGGCGAAUAUCAUAGAAGGAAUGAAAUUUGACUUGAGUAAAAUUAUUUUUUAUAUCAAUUUGUUAUUUCUGUGCUUGAUAUGAUGGUGAUUUACUUGUCAUAGAUCACUAGUGGUCAUUUAUAGUUCUUCAUUCAUGGUAGGAUGAUAAAUAAACAUUUAUUGGCAGGUAUUUAACAUGAAAAUUUCAAUUCCUUAUUUGGCUUUCAUUACUCUCAGAUUUGAAUAUCUAUGAAGAUGAAAUUUGAAUGAACAAUAUUAUUAUCCUCAUCAUCAUCAUCA